GAUGAACGCUGGCGGCGUGCCUAAUACGUGCAAGUCGAGCGAACAGAUGAGGAGCUUGCUCCUCUGACGUUAGCGGCGGACGGGUGAGUAACACGUGGAUAACCUACCUAUAAGACUGGGAUAACUUCGGGAAACCGGAGCUAAUACCGGAUAAUAUAUUGAACCGCAUGGUUCAAUAGUGAAAGACGGUUUUGCUGUCACUUAUAGAUGGAUCCGCGCCGCAUUAGCUAGUUGGUAAGGUAACGGCUUACCAAGGCAACGAUGCGUAGCCGACCUGAGAGGGUGAUCGGCCACACUGGAACUGAGACACGGUCCAGACUCCUACGGGAGGCAGCAGUAGGGAAUCUUCCGCAAUGGGCGAAAGCCUGACGGAGCAACGCCGCGUGAGUGAUGAAGGUCUUCGGAUCGUAAAACUCUGUUAUUAGGGAAGAACAAAUGUGUAAGUAACUAUGCACGUCUUGACGGUACCUAAUCAGAAAGCCGCGGCUAACUACGUG
This 497-nucleotide ribosomal RNA is filed under the name uncultured bacterium. RNAcentral describes it as "partial 16S ribosomal RNA". It matches the Rfam family "Bacterial small subunit ribosomal RNA", at positions 28 to 507 of the family's 1533-position model. The record is from RNAcentral.